Molecule: long non-coding RNA, 18842 nt
Filed under: Medicago truncatula (barrel medic)
Lineage: Eukaryota; Viridiplantae; Streptophyta; Magnoliopsida; Fabales; Fabaceae
Description: long non-coding RNA (MTRU_LNC004481)
Source: RNAcentral
UAUUGCUUACAAAUCUUAUAAUGAGAUCAUGCUUGUAGAUUUUAUUUUAGGCAUAGUCCUUACUCGUGGAAAUGGUGUAACAAUCACUUACACCCGCUCCAUUGUGCAGCGACGGUGCAAAUUGUUGAAUCUAAAAAGGUAAAAUUUAUCUUUAUAGAUCUAUAAGUUCUGAUGUUGAUGCACUCAAUAGCGGGUGCAUGAAAUCCUCAUCCAUAGGUAUGAUAUCACAUGAUGGAGCAAGUCUCGGGGUUUUGUUCAUAAACAACCUUGCCAUAAGGUGGAUAAGGGUUAGAACAAGGUGGAUACGGUCGAUAUGGAGCAUAACAUUUAGGGCAUGUGCACCAUUGAGGACAUUGUUGGAUCGGUGGUGUAGGAGGCUUCUCAGGAGGUGUAGGAGGCUUCUUAGGAGGUGUAGGAGGCGUACAACCAUUACACUUCUUGUUGUCACAAUUGGAGCAAUUACAUUUACACUUACCAUCACACUUUGAAUCUUCACAUUUAAAGCAAAUUGUGACACAAUGUUUCCCAUCACACUUUAGACUUUCACAUUUUGGGCAUUUAUCACAUUUUCCAUUACAACUCAAGUCAUGACACUUGACGCAAGUACCCUGCAAAACACUACGACAUGCUUCUAUCAUUUUUUUCUUUUCAUCCUCUUUUUUCUUUUCUUCUUCCUUUUUCUUUUCUUCAUCAGAUUUCUUUUUCACCUCUUCCACACUAAGUAUGGUGACACUAUUGAACUUUUUCUUUAGCUGGUUUGCUAAACAAAUUGUGUCCACAUCAUCACCGAUCACACAUAUACUAUCCUUGUCAUUUCCUUCCAAUGAUACCGAAGUUACACCUAUAAAAAUCGGUCACUGACUUGGUUAGAGACGUAAAUAGUUGCCAAAACAAUAGUCGCUAAAGUAUAAAUAUUAAAAAUCGGUCGCUAAUUUGAUUAGCGACAAAAAUAGUGAUCAAAAUAGAGGUUGCUAAAGUAAAGAAUAGUAAAAAAAUGUCACUAUUUCGGUUGCUGUUUAUAUGGCCCCAAUGCAAAAAAAAUAUUGGAUUCGUCCCUGACUGUGUACCAUCACACUUAAUCAUAUACGCAUUUCCCACGAGAGAUCUACACUUGUGCCACUAAGACAAUUGAUUUGAGUUACCUACGUAUAAACGAGUGCGUAAAUAGUGAGAAAUACUCUAUCCGUUUUAAAUUAGUUAUCCCUAUUUACCGUCUUUCUUUGUCUUAAAAUAUUUAUCUUUUUAUAAUAUAAAUAUAAUAUUUCAUAUUCUUUUUCAAUAACAUCAUUAUUAUUGCAUUCUAGUCAUCUAAUUCAUCUCCUAACUACAAUUAAUAAUGAUGUUUUUGAUAAAUAAAACAUAUUCUAUCAUUAAAAUCAACAUUGGUAAAACUAAAAAAUAGCACAUACUCACCUCUCAUCACUAUUACAAGAAAAAAAAAGUUUAUUGAAUAACUGACAUAUGUAGUCUAAUUAUAGACCAGAAACAUCAAUUAUUCAAUGAAUUUAAAAAAAAAAUUACUUAUAAUUGUGAUCGAAAGGGGUACUUUAAGACAAAAGGAUUAUUAAUAUAUAUUUUCUUAAGUAAAUGUAAUCUCUUGAAGUUAUAAUUUUUGUCUUUAAGGAGUUAAAGGAAUUGAGAAGAUAAAAUUUUAAAUUUUCAAGAUUUUGGUUGCACAAUUCUCAUAUUAUAUUUUUAUUUUUGGUUUAUUAAAUUGUUUUACAAGGACAUAAGUUAGCAUUUUACAGAAGGUGGAGUGCCAAAAAUACUCUUAUAGUAAAUAUAGUCAUAUACUCAAUCACAUAACACCGUCCUUAUGAAAUUGAAGGUUUGACUCUCAUAGUAAAGAUAGUCCUCUAGAAAAAAAUGUUUAUAACAUUUGUUUUAUUUUUUGAAAGGAUGAUUAUAAUGUUUGUUAUUAGAGCUUUGUCAUUUUAUACGACAUGUAUGGGUCCAAAAUUACAAUAAGUGCUCUUAAAAAAAAGAAGAAAAAAAGUUAUAUUGUGUUUUUUAUUUCUAAAUAGAGAAAUGAUAUUUGUACAAUCAUUUUGUGACAGCUUUUUGACAACUCACUCUCAUCUUCACAUUAUGUUUUUAUUCUCUCUCUUCAUUUUUCUCCAUCUAUUGUUUUUGACCAAAAAAAAAGAGAAAAAAUUGUCACAAAAGUUAUCUCAAAUGAUUGUUCAAAUAUCACUACUCUUGUAAAUAUACAGUCCAAUAUGUUGAUGAGAGUUGGACUAAAUCAGAGAAAGAAGAGAGAGUAUUUAAGACAUAUAUGGACCUCAAAUACAUGAAAAAUUAGGCCCUUUGAUGCUCGAAAAAAAAUUAGUUAAAGGAGAAAAACAUAAAUAAAUCUCUCGUGUUAAUACCAUGGGAACUCCAACGCUGAUUUCUACUACUCAGCCAUAUCAACAAAUUUGAAUUUUGUACCACGUUAUUAGUAUAUAUUGCGUUUUUAUAUACAAUAUAUAUUAUUUUGAGCCUCGAAAUUUUGUAGGUCCAACUCUGUAGAAUUGUUUGCAUCCUUAAAAACCGGCUCUGGUUUCACAAAUGCAUAGUUGCUCUCAUGUUUGUUAUGUUUUCAAAUUGUUGUAUUAAGGGUGAAAAAUUCAUCUAACAAAAGGGUGAAACUUUGGAAAUAUUACAAACAAAAAAGGGUUUGGUAUGAUUAUUACCUUGGACCUCAGCAGCAGUUUUGAGGGCUUUGUUUCUGCAUUUAUCGCAGUCCAUUUGCAACUUUAUAACCAUUUUUUGCUGUAUUUGCCAUUUCACAUAUAACUUAUUAAGGGAAUGAUCACAAAUAAAAAGAAAAAGAAAAAGUUAAAAUAAUGAUUAAGUGAUCAAAACACACCUUCAUGAUUGCUUGAGUUUGAAACAAACAGAAGUGGUUCUUCGUAUUUGUUCUCUGAGCCUGUAGUACACAUAGUAGUCGUUAUGAUAAAUAUAUAUAUAUAUUAUAGUCGCAGAUAGAAAGAAAAUGAUAAAAAAAAAUACUAUACAACUUUUGGAUAAUUGGGGUUGUUGGGGUAGACUUUUCUUUUAAUUCGUUUUUUUUCUUUCCUCCGCCAACUUUUGAAUUCUUAAAGAAAUGAGUCUUAGUAAUUUGAGUUCGAUCAGAACAUAAAUAAAAUGAUUGAAUAUCUAUAAAUUGAAUUUAAAUUCUUCUAAAUAAUUUAUCUUUACAUAGAGCUGAUAUUCAAAUUUAAUUACUUAAUUUUUAACUAGUUGUUCCUCCACGCAUAAAUCCAAUCCACAUAUUAUUGGUGUUUAUUAAUCAAUAUUGUAGAUAUUGUUAAUAUAUGUAGUGGUGUUGUCCUAGUUUUUUUUUUUUUUUUUGGUCUAAAAUACCAUUGAGCCAAGAAAGAAGUUCUGUGUUGUCCUAGUUUAAAUUGUGCUCAAAAUGAAUAAGGUGGGUGUUGAUGAAUUUGAAAUAUGAUGAUCAAAACACCUGGGCCACCUAAUAAUCUAUUAAUUGAGCAACCACCGCAAAAUCAAAUACACUUUUCAUUUUAAGAUAAAAAAUUCAAAAUAUCUCGAGACCUCAUUAAUUUGAAACGUUAGAGUAUCUUUGUAUGAACAACACCCCGCAUUGGCGAAGAACAACUGACAAUCACCAUCAAGAACAAAAACGGAGGUACUCUAAUGAAGGCGUGGGCCACAACACACUUGAAAAGAAGAAAAACAUAGAUGUAUCAUACAAAGAAAUGUUUAAUUUAGCGACGAUUAUUUGUUCAUUUUAAGGGGUUUUGAACCCUCAUCAAACGAAACAGAUGAAUUUUUGGUAAACGUUGGUACUUUUUGCGGAGGUUACUUUACAAUGUUUUAUAACCUCCACUAACUAUACGUUAUAUAACAAAAUUCGAAAUGUAAAUACUAUUAGUUGUAAUUAAUUAGGUUUUUUUACCUCAAUUACAAUAACUAUAUUAUUAAAAUUUAUGGGUUUUUCUUAUUUACAACAAAAAGGUUAAUUUUCGUUUUCAACUUUGGCAAUUCGUUAUUCAUGCCCGUCAAAAAUUAAUUUUGAAGAUUUUAUUUUAGUCAGCCACCCAAAAAGAAAUUCUGGCUUCGCUGUUGAUCAAGAACCAUAGAAUCACUAUAGCACUAACUCAAUUGGUUUGAACUAAAAGUUACUCCCUCCGUCUCACAAUAAUUGUCUUUUUACCCAUUUUUCUUUUUCUCAAAAUAAUUGUCACUUUAGAAUACCAGUGCAACAUUUAUUAUUUUUUUUCCAUUAUAAUACUCUUAUUUAUUGAAUUUUAUCCAACUUUACUACUCCACUAACUACAAUUAAUAAGGGUGUUUAAGUAAAUGAUACUAAUUUUACCAUCAAAGUCAAUAAAAUUAAUCAUUUCCUUAAUAACUGUGCAUCAAUCUUAAACGACUAUUAUUUAGAGUCGAAGGGAGUAAAAAGUUAGAGAUUUAAGGUUCAAGUUCCAACAAAAAAAAUAAAAACUUAACAUCACAAUUAACAUUCUAACAUAACAUUUGUCACUAAAAAAAACUCAACUUCAAUUGUCUAUUCUUAAAAAUUAUAUAUAUAUACUUUAUUAAAACUCGGGAAGAAAAAAAUGUAGAAAAGAAAACUAUAAGAAAAUUAACCGAGUACUAGAAACUCCCAUAGCAUCAACAAGAACCAAUUGAUGAAGAGGACAACUAAAAAAGAAUAUCAAGAAUCAGCAUCAUCACACUCCAACUUGGCUAAUGAGUCAACACAAUUGUUAACAAGUUGAGCCCAUCUCUAAUAUUUUCCACUUUCUUUUUCGAAUUAAUCAUCACCUCAUAUUGUUUCUAGAUAGGAAUGACACUACUUAAUCGUUGGAUUAUAUCUAUCAUUUUUUUAUUCUUUUGAAUUAAUAGUCACCUCAUAUUGCUUUUAGAUAAGAAUGUCAUUACUUAACCGUUGAAUCCAUAUCCAACAUUUCCUUUUUCUUUUGAAUUAAUCGUCUUCUCUUAUUGCUUUUAGAUAGGAAUGACACUACUUAACCGUUGUAUUCAUCUCUAAUAAUUCCUUUUUCUUUUGAAUUAUCGUCACCUCAUAAUGCUUUUAGAUAAAUGACAAUACUUAAUCUUUGAAUCCAUAUCUAACAUUCCUUUUUCUUUUGAAUGAACAGUCACAUCAUAUAUAAGGAUUGAUGUAGUUUUUAUGAAGGGAAAUAUAAUUUUUUUUUCAUGAUAUUUUAUUUUGCUUGUUGCCAAAGAACACACUGUAAAUUGAAUUCUUACUUCCUCAUAGUAUCUUAUACAGCAAUAGGUAUUCCUUAAGUAUUUUAAUUUUUAAAAGAUAUUGCUUUAGUAUAUUUAUUUUCAUUUAUUUUUUAGUAGCAUGGUUUUGGUAUAACAUACAAAAAAAAAAAAAAAAAAAAAAACAUGAUAUGGUGGCUCAAAUCAUAUAUGUGUUUUUUUUUUAAGGAUUAAAUCAUAUACAUGUUGCAAGCCGACUCAUUUUUGUUUACAAAUAAACUGGUUUAAGGCGUAAGGCAGCUUUAACCCUUGCUUUAAACCUCCAAAAAGUAAUUUUUUUUCUCUAAGGAUGUUUAGACCGUCAAAUAAAAUAAUUACUAUUAAAAAUAUACAACGUUAGGCCUCAAUUUUUCACUAAGCUCUUGAAGCUCAGUUGCUGUCAAUCGUGUUUUUUUUUGCUUUUCAUGUCGAAGGUUUGAAUCUUUGUGUGAUAUGUAUUUUUCAAUUUUUGUUCUUAUUCAAAAGUUUUUGUAGAGUAUACGACUCUUUUCUUUUUCAUUUUUGCAAAACAAUACUUUAUUAGUUUUUAUCUACAUGGAACACUUUGGUAAAAAUAAAAUCUACAUGGAACACUGAUCUAUUACUUAGAUAUAUAGUUAUUUAUGUUAAUAGAAGAAAAGUCAACCUUAAGCAAAAAAAUAAUAAUAAUAUCACCUAUAUUCAUAAUAUAAAAAACUUCAAAAUAUAUUUUGUGUUAUUUUUCUUUCAUGAAAACUCUCAAUUUAAUUUCGCUUUAGGUCUCAUAAUAUACUGGGUUGGCCAUGUUGGUUGUUAGCGGCCAAUACUCGGUGGAAUUUAGUCUCACAUUGAAUAGAUAGGAUUCUUACUAAUUAUAAAGGAGGCACUACUCACCGUACAAGCCGGUUUUGUGUGGAUGAGUUAAGUCUCGAUAUUCGUUACAUCGGCAACAUAGAUCAAAUUAUGUCAUAAAAUGUUAUCAUAAAUCUUAUUUUGAUUCAACUUACCAAUCUCUAGGAUUUUUUAAAAAUUUCUCUUAAAAAAUUUAUAGGACAUCCUCUGCACUUAGUGAUCUGACUAUCUUCCAACUGAUAUACUCUCUUUACUACAAAAUUUACAUGUAUUCUCUCUACAUCAGCAAGUUGAGCAGAAGAAGGGAUAGGGUGUAGAUGAUUGCAUAUUUGUUGUCGGAAGACAAGUUGUGAAAAUGUAAUACGUAGAUCAUGAAACAAAUAUUGCAACCAGUGCAAUUCAUAAUAGAGGCUAGCAAGAGCAUAAUAUUUAGCUCAGAACUUGAUAGGGAGGAAACCGUGGAUUGCAUCUUGGACUUCCAAGAGAUGAGAGAAUAACCAAUAAAUACAUAGUAACCAUAAACAAAGUGACGGGCAGCAGGGCAUGAUGCCCAAUUUGAGUCAGCAAACCCAAAUAGCUUCACAUGAGAAUUGGAAGAGAAGAAAAGUCCAUCUGUUGAUAAGCUCUUCAAAUACUUCAAGGGGGCCAAUUAUUUUAUUUUUUUAAUAAUGGUAGCGUAUAUAGCAAUACUUGGUUUAAAUGAGGUGUAUCAUAGAAAUAAAUGUAAAGAGGGCCCAAUCAUUUACUAGACUUCAACCCAUCAGUCGUUUCACCCUUUUAAUUUUACAACCCAGUAGCACUUUCAUUUUCACCCGCCAACAUUUCAUUAGCUAAAACACAAAACUUAUAAGUAAAACGUAAAUAACAUAAGCAACACGUAAAAUGCAAAAUAUCUACCCCUGCUUAGAGACCAAAUUUAUUUUUAUCUGAGAAUGCUUUUUAAGAUGACAAAUUUGGUCUUGUGUUAUUUUUGAUAAGUAACAUAUCAUAUCCUAUUUAUAAAUGAUAAAAGAUUUUCAUGUUAUUAGACAUGAGGGAAGUGUAUUUUAUAAUAUUAUGGAUUUACGAUGAUGAAUGAGAAUAAAGUUUUGACAAAUUUUUGAGGCAGUCAAUCAAUUGAAUUAUCAAAUCAGAUAAUGAAACUUAUAUAAAGCUUAGUAUGUUUAUUAUCCUUUACCGCGCUUUGUUGAGUUUGGUUCGGCCGCCAACUUUUUUUUUUGUUAUUCUUUUUUAUUAAUAAUAUAUAGGAUGAAAUGCAUUUGUCACACAAUAUUUUGUAGUGUAGGCAUAGUUGAAAUUUCAAAACAUCGGAUUAUCGUGACCGCCAUAAUCAAUGCAUAUUUCAUUUGAUGUUUAUAAAAAGUAAAAAUAAAAAUAAUUAUCGAUUAUACUAGGUGUUAUCACGAUUUUGGGGUGUCAAGUCAUUAAUUAGAUUUGAACCUUUCAAUCUUUGAUAUUCUCUAUUUUUUCUUGGGAAGGGCAAAAUUGAGAAAACCCUUAGAAAUUCUAAGUUCGGGGGUCGUUUUCACUACGGGAAGGUGUUAGGCACCCGCGAUGACUAUAGUACUCUAUAGGAGCCGUUUCCUUAGUUUUAUGUCUACGCUUUAUUUUUAAUGCUAUUUAUUAAAAAAAGAAGUUGUUUAUUUAGGUUAAGAGUGGAGGGAGGAAAAGAUUUGAAGUUUUGUUUUAUUGGACUUGGAGAGGUUUUGACCUCAUGCCUACAUACCCUUUUAAGGGAUCAAACUCCAUGUAGUUCUCUUUCAAAAAUGUUUUUGUGUGUUUGAUUGAUUUUAGUUUUUGUUGGAAAAUGGUUUUGAAGAAGAGAAAGAAGCCGUAAAGGCAUGAGAAAAAAAGUAGUGAAGAGUUGGUUCGAUUUUUAAAAGAAAAUGUCUAAGUAGAAGUUAAAGUUCAUUGAGGUUUUGAUUAAGAAAAAUAAAGAGAAAAAUUCAAUGGAGUUUUGACUCCAAGGUUUUUUUGGAAAAAUUUUCAAGUGAUGGAAUUUGCUUGUUUUUAUGGAAAAUUGAUAUUUUUCUAAGUAUCGCGUUUCCUAAGCAUACAUCUAAGGCGGUAAACAUACAACGUGUGUACGUGUCGGUGCUUGUGUCAGUGUACAUCAUUAAAGUCCAUUGUCCGUUACAUUGGCCCUAGUUUACAUUCUAUGGUCUUGCAAGAAAUUAAAGAGUGAUUUAAACUACCUAAAAAUAUUACAAGACAUUUUAACAUAGAGAUUAAAAAGAAAAAUAAUGCCUAAGCUAUGAGAAAUGGAGAUGAAAGAGGUAAGAUGCUCAUGAGGUGAAUGAAAUAAGAAAUGAAAUGGUUAGUAAUAUAAGGCAUAAAAAUGGGAAAAAAGGUAAACAAAAUUGCAUAGGAUAGCAAAAAAGAAAAGAGCAAUAAAGUGAAAUAAAAUGGCAAAAUAUACCUAGAAUUGGUUAUAACACUUAGACAUGCACAUGACCUAUAAUUCUCUCAUCAUAGCAAUGUUAAAAAGGUUUGAUUUUGAGCUAUAAUAUGAGGAUAAUAUGGACACACACAAGCCAAGCAUUAUGACAUAUUUCUAGAGAUACUUUGCACUUUAUUUCUUGACAAAAACACACAUUACUUGCAAAACAAGAAAAAAAAUGAAAAUUCACAUCACACAAACAGUAAACUACACAUAGGGUCAGAGACAUAUUCAUCAUGAAAUUGCAUAUUAAUCACUCAUAUCAUGCCAAAACCUCAUGAACGGAUUAUAGCAAGAAAAUUCACAAGUUUAAUAAAAAAAACUGAACAAAUCAACAAGAAAAUAUUACAUACAUUUUUAUCAUUUUUUAACACGUGAAAACAUCACAAAAUCAUCAAAAAUACAUCAAGAAACAUAUAGGAAUUUUUAGGAAUUUUUUGCAAGAAAAUUGGACAAGCAGAGGGUUCACAUAGCAAGAAAACAAGGUGUGAAUAGCAAGAAAAAAGUAAAAACGAAAGAAACUGCAAAGAAAGAGGCCCAAGCCCAAAACCUAAUGGUCUGGAAGCACAGGGAGCGUUGGAUUGAUCCAAGGGGAAAAACCCUAGAUCCAACGCUCAAGAUUGAAGGGAUUGGACCGGUCUUGAACCGGUCCGGUCUAGUUGUCUAUAAAAGCAUGUUAGCGCCGGUUUUUUUAUUCUUCUUUGUUCUUUCUCUCUCUUCUCUCAACCUAGUGAGAGAAGCUCUCACCUCUCUCUUCAAUUUUCUGGAAAAUCAGAAGAUGAUCUUCAUCUUCUCCGGUGAGCUUCACCGCUCCGGUGUGGUGGUUUGCCGGCCCAACAGGGCGGCGGCGCCGCACCGGAGAUGAGAAACUUCUCCGUUUUCAAUUUUUUUUACAGAUUAAGAUAUCCUUUUUUAUUUUAAACACGAAUCUGAACUUGUUUUUUACAAACAAAGCUUGAAACAACGUAGAUCUAAGAUCUUUCAUGCGAUUUUGAAAAGUUAUUCUUUAGGUUUUCUGAACGUUUGAAUCCUAGGGAUUUACAUUGUUUCGUCUUUGUUGAUACUUUGAAAGGAAAAUGAUGAAGUUUGAGUGUUUUUACCUCUGGUUUGAUUGGAGAUUCGAACGGAAAUCUUCGAAAAACUUUGAUUUGAUUCUGUUUCGUUGAUGUUGUUCUUGAAUCCGAAAAUAAAUCGGUGAUGCUCUUCUUCUUCUUUACCGGUUCGAAUCUUCUUCUUUUUCUCUUCUUCUCAAGCUUUCAGAUCCUUCGUGAUCAUGCUUGAAUUCGUCACCAAUGGUGAUGAAUUCGCACUGGAAUUGCGAAGGAAUUGAUUCGAUGAUGAAGAUUCGCAAAGAAUCUCUGAGAAUCGCAGAAAAAAAUGAUGAAUUUGAUGACUUUUUGAUGAUUCUGGAAUUCUAGGGUUUUUGAUUGUUCUUGGUGAUUCUGGAUUUUGAUCCUAACAGAAAGGAGAGAGAAACUUCUCACGUGUUUGUGAGUUGGCACUGAUUGCAUGGGUCUGUGUGGCACUGUGCACCUUUUAUAGGCUGCCAUGUGUAUUCCUGGACCAAUGGGGUAAUGCCACCUGGAAUUGGACUUGGGACUUUUCUGCAAAAAAGAAAAGUAAAAGGACUAAACUGCAAUAAUGAAAAAAGGACUUAAAAUACAAUAAUGAAAAGUAUUGGAAAAAAAUGUAAAUUUUAAAAGGUUUUGGACUAAAGUGUAAUUCUGGAAAUUGUUUGAGGGGCUAAAAUGCAAAAAAAUGAAAAUAAAAUGAAUUAAAAUUGGUAAUUUGACCAAAUGUAAAGUGAAACCUAAAAUUAAAAUCAAUAAAAGGACUAAAACGAACCAAUUACUGACAUGAGGUAUUUUAAAAUACCUCCCUGUCGAAAUUUUGACAGGAAAAGACCAAAAUGCCCCUAGGGACUAAACUGACUCAAACUGACUCAGAUGCAAUUUUGAAAUGAUUUUAAACAGAGAUUUCAACAAUAAUUUGUACAGACAAGUUAAAAAGACUCAGAGACAAUCACAGGGACUAAAAUGGGUUCCACUGCAGGAAAUGACCAAAAUACCCUUUUGUAUGAUUUUUUGAAAUAAAACGCAAGAAAAAGUAAUGCGAUGUUUCAGAGAGUUUUCAAAUGACUUAUAAUGCAAGAAAAAACGUUUUGAAUAGUUUUAUGCAAGAAAAUCAUGCUUGAAUGUACUUUGAGACAGAGACAGUAAAAUAUGCGGAUGGAAAAAGGUUUAGAGUAAAAUAACAGAGAAUUGACAAAUAUCAGUGUUAGAAAAGAAAUUUGAACAAGUAUUUUUAGGUCCAAAAUCAGGGUAUAACACUAGGGUCUCUUUUGUCAAACUUGGCCUAAGGCCCAUAAAAUACUAGGAACGGGCCUGGUGGUAUCAAGGUUACCUUGCUGAUAGCAUGCAAUUUCCUGAAGUAGGUCAGUGAUUAUAAAGAUAUGCAUGUUUGUGAACCGCGUCUGCAAACAUUCUAGACCACCAUGACACGAUCGCACCCCAUGAUUGACUUAGCGAUGAUUUUCGAAAUAGAUCGUUGGAUUCAGGAAAGUACCAUAUUGUCGCAACAAAUCCAUGGAUCCAUGGUUCAUGAAGAGGAUCAGACAGAUGAAGAGUACCAUCAACAAAUUUCAACUUGUUCUUAGAGAUUAGCGCUACCUUCAUUGAGCAAGAUCAUGUCUAUGAUAGUUUUUGUGAUCAAGAAGAGGAUAACAAGUAUAAUAGAUGAAUUCUCAUUAGGGUGAAGGUAAUAGGGAUCGGUAAGGUUUGUGGCGAAAUCAGCAAAAGGUUGAGUCUCCAAUGAUCAUCGGAAGGAAGAAAAGCCGAAGUGAGCGAAACAUGAUACCAUCUUAAAUAUCAGAGCAGCAAGAAUUGAGAUGUAAUUCUCAUUUUAUUGUAUGUAAAAAGAUUAUUUACAUAUAGAGCUGCUAAUGAUUUAUAUAUAAAGUAUAAAACUACUAAAGUAAUGUAACUGGUAUAAAACUAAUAAAUAGGAAGGAGAAAAAAUUAAGCGGCUUCCUAACUAUAAAUAAGAUAAAUUAGCAUCUUUAUAAUUAGGUAAUAAGACCUCAUCCAAUGAUACCGAACAGUAUGCCCCUAAUAAGACCCCAUAAAAUGCUUUGGAAAAUAAAAAUAGAGGCCUAAAGCAAAGAUUUGGUACCUUAUGCUAGGGUUGGUUCUAUUAGAAGAGUUGGAAAGUUGAUUAGUGGAGGGAGAUUCAACUGAGUAGGACACAUCAGAGAAUACAUUAAGGUGGAUUGCAAAUUCCACUCGUAGUUUUUCAUUCAUAAUUCAUGAAGACUUUCUAUACAAGUAGUCGAUCCCCUUUUAGCUAACCAUCGGCUUUGAAACCAGAGUUGGCUCAUGAAGCAGUCCGGGAGAUCAACACGUUGGGUUUGAAAUCACAUCUUCAUCCAAAAUCUUAAGCAUUAGAUAUGUGGAUCAUCUCACUUAUAUGUCGCUCACACUUGACACAAACAAAAGGUAAAAAUGGGAAAUAAUUAUUGUUGAAGGCUAUUAUUUCGGAUCGUCAUAGCACAUCAUGUGUAUUAUGUUUCAAUUAGAUGAGAAAUGGUAUUACAUUUUCUUGAUAUGUUCUCUAAUACAAAAAUUUCCAUGACAUGUUUAAAUGUAUGGGUGUCAACAUUUUCAAGAUAAUGGCAAUCAAAUAAGGAAAGGAAGGUGAGAGACAUUUAAUUUGGUUAGCUACAACUUAGAGAUGGCAAACAUGAGAAAUAACAUUAUUUUUAAAGGUGAGAAAUUCUGUCAAAAAAAGCAAGAUCAAAUAUGCAUCUUGGUUUUGGUGUAUGGGUAGAAUGGGGAAGCAUUCUAAUUAUGUUAUGUUCUGGUUGAGAAUUUUUUUCAGUUGGUAUGCAAAGCAUUUGAGACUUUUUUUUUUUUUUGUAAGGGUUCCAUAGUAUUUUUUAUUUAUUUAUUACAAUAGUAUAUUUCGCUUAUUCUACCAAUCUCAAUGGAAGAGGCAACCUAUUCAGUGAGCAACAUCUUGCAUAACCAUGUAGGAUGAGACGAGUUUAAAUUUAUACCCGUUUUGCUGCAACAAAUAUGUAACAAUAUUCUCAAUCAUUUAGAGCCUUACAAUGAUGAAGAAUUCACUAAUGCGUCUGGGUAUGUAUGAACUUCUUCGUGAGCCUUAAAAUUGUAUGCAUAACAGAAUUUUCUCAAUCAUUUGGAGCUUGAAAGUUCUCGAAAGAUUGCGAUGCUUGAUUUAGGUUUGCUAGAGGAGCCAUUCUUUUCAAUUCUGAAAGAUACAUGAGGCACCUUACGAAUUCACCAAGUUAUCAAUUAUGUGCUGCGACAGAAACAACAUUAUGGCAGAGUUAUUUGGGAUUCUAUACAGUUUGCAGCUGAUUGUCGAACAAGGUUUGUCCAAUGUUGUGACUGAAACCGAUUCCGGGGAGGUUUUGACUAUUAUGCAGACCUGUUGUGUUCCUAAUCAUCGUUGGUCGACUUGCAAAGAUACAAAUACUCUAGUUAAGAUGAUUGGUUGUGUGGAGGGAACUUAUUCCUCAAGAAAAAAAAUCAAGUCGCAGACACUUUUGCCAAAGAGGGUUUAAACAGCAGAUGAAGAUGCAUAUUUUUAUGGCUUAAAUAUGUAUUUCAUUCUUGCAAUUAGGGUCGUUUAAAAAUUGGUCUCUGUAAUCGCUAAUCCUGCCAAUUUACCCUUGCACUGUUUAAUCAUUUAAAAUUUCGUCCCUCUCCCCAUUUAAUCACUGCCAUGUCACUAAUUUGAUGACGUGGCAAUCACUGCCAUACAUGAAAUUCCAAUUUUACCCCUGGGUUUCCAAUUCUUUCUUCAAUAUUUUGUCCUCUUCUUAAGGGCAAAAUUGGAAUUUCAUGUGUGGUAGUGAUUGCAACGUCAUCGAAUUAGUGACGUGGCAGUGAUUAAGUUGGUCAAAGGACGAAAUUUUAAAUGAUUAAUGAUUUCAAGGCUAGUUUGCAAGGAUUAGCGAAUACAGGGACCAAUUUUUAAACGACCCCUAAUUGCAAGGAUGAAAUACAUAUUUAAGCCUAUUUUUAUUAAUGUUCCCAUUUUUGCUAUUCAACCUUUGAAGCUCAUAAUUUGGAUACUUUUUUUUCCAAAGGUUGUUAGUUUGAUUCAUGGGGUUAUUCUCUUUUGUUCAAUAUAUCUUGCUUAUAAAAGAAAAGUUUGAAACUAUGGUAGAUAAGUUUUAAAGACAAUUUAGAAAAUUGAUAAGUUCGACCUACAAAAUUUUCUCAAUGUUUUUUUAGUGGAGUUUUUUCAAUGUUAAAUGCAAUAACCAAUUUACAAAAUUGAUAAAUACAAAAUAAAAAAUUGAGUUGAGGAGCUAAUUCGGAAAACAAUAAAAGCAGAUAAAAGCUGUAAAAUUAAGUGCAAUGUAGUAUCUUGGAGUAUAGUUGGUAACACCAAAUUUGUUUUCAAAUUUCAAACCAUCGAAAACUUUACAAUCUCUUCAAAAUAAAAUUUAAAAGUACUUACUAGUUAUGUAAGUAAAGUUCGGUUGAUAGCACAUUGAUAUGCAAAGGUCUGAAAUUAAUUUCAAGAUCACUACUCUUCUGCAUUUAAAGUGUGUGAAUCACUAAACUACUUUAGAGAGAAAUACGAAAUUUAAAAGUACUACACUCUCCGAUGGUGAAACUCUGACCACAUUUCGAACCCGCACCUCUUUUAUUUAUGUAACCUGGAUACAAAACUUGAUGAAAAUCCACUUCUUCAAUAAAUGAUAAAUCCUCAUUUUCUGCAAGAUUCUUGAUAUUCCAGUUACUAUAAGGAUAUGAUGUUUUGUGGGUAAUAUGAAUUUCACCAAAAAAACGAAGCAUAGACUUAGCACUUCUUAGAAACCCACUCACUAAUUUCUUGUGUUGCCUGUAAAAGAACAAAACUUUAUUAGGGCAAAAUCACGUAUACUAACUAGAAAAAAAAUGUUGAAAUAACAAUGCAAAUUAGAGUUUCUUGAUGAUCAAUUUUAUUUUUCCGUUUCUAAUUUCUAUUGUUUUUUACCGUAAAAAAACAAUGGAAAUUGGAGAAGGGAGAAAUAAAUUUGAUUACAAAGCAACUCUAAUUAAUUAAAGAUUGAAUAUUAAAGACAUGUUUUGCUUUAUCUGUCACUAUUUCAACUUUUUCUAAUAGUCACAUGCUAAAAUUUCUAUAUAACUUACUCAAUCACCGAUUCAUAAAUUUCACGGCUAAACAGACCAGAAUGAGGAAAAUUGAAGAUUAUUCGAUGAAAAUCAUUGCUGUGCUUGAGAUAAUGGUGUUGUUUCAUGUUGUGAACGUCUACUUCGUGCAAGAUGGUGCAGCCAAGACCUUCAAGUUCAUCCAAGUUUGAUAUUGCAUUUGUGUAUUUCCUUGCAAGAGAGGCUUCAAAAUUUGAAAUACGUAAAAAAUAUACAUCCAGUUAGCACAAAUCACGAGCACAAUUUCGAAAGAUAUCAAAUAUAUAUUUAACACAAAUAUUUACUAUAAAAUGAAUUAAGAUUGAUUCUAAAGGGAAACACAGAGGUUGUACAUUAGAUUUAGAUGCCUGAUAAUAAUUCAACAUUUUACUACCACAUUAAAAUUGAUAAUGUAAAUGGUAAACUAAAAUAGUAGAACUCACACACUCCUUUAAUUUUUAAAUAAUUAAUAAUAAUUAAAAUUUGCAAAAUUAUGCAUAUUCUAACAAGUAUUUUCAUAAACAUGAUAAAUAUACAAAAUAGUCAUAAACAUAGAUUAGUGACAGUAAAAUAGUGAUAUAUAUUUUUUUAGGAUAUAAAAUAGUGAUAGAUAUUUCGUACCUUUAUGAUGUUAUUUAAAGAAAUAAUGUGUCAAAUACUUUGGCAUAUGUAUCAUACCUCUAUCAUCCAAAGAUGUAGCAACCAUGUUUCUAGCAGAGCCAAAUGCCUUUGCUAAGCAAAGUGAGAAGGAGAAAUCUCCUUCUCCCACGAGCAAAUUUUUUUGAGAGCUUUUAUAAUGUGUUAUACUUUUCUUUUCCAUUUUCGUUACUCAAGUUGCUGCUAAUCGAAUGAUUAAAACCACUAAUUAUGAAUUUAAAUACACAUUUUGGUAUCCGAUGGAAUUCCCCAUAAAAAUAUAUCGAAUCUGAGUUAAUAGUAUUCACAUGUUUUUAUGUUUAAUUUGUGACGUUUUAUGAUAAAUUUGUUUAAGAACCAAUAAGCUUUCCCUUUAAUUUAUUAUUAUGUUUUUCUUUGUUUUUUUACAAACUAAUUUAUCAUUAUCUACUUGGAAAACCCAAUUUUAGUGGAGUGGAAUUGCAAUGCUUCCUAUUCCCAAUCAGAGGAAGCGCAUGCAAGUGAACUUUACAGUGAAUUAAUUUUGCGGUGGAAAGAAUAUUUUUGUGUUUGAAUAAGUGGUGGCAAGGAAUUAGGUGAAGCAAGAAAGAUGUCUUUAAUUCGGAAAUGGAUCCCCUCCUGCUUUUUUCUCUCAUGCGGUCCCUCCUGCAUUAUUUUCGUCUCUUUGAUUGAUCCAACGGUUGAGUCAUAAAACGCAUGAAUUAAUGGCAAACCAAAUUGUAGCGAAUUCGUUGAAAAAUCACACCAAUAACAAACUUGAUGUGUGGAGCAAGGGAUAGUCAAACAACCAAAACAAAGUGUAUGGAACAAUUAUAAAUACAAGUCAAAAGUAGAAAACAGCGAGAGAGAAAGGAAGAGAUAACACAAAAGAAUUUGUUGACCCAGUUUGGUCCAAAUUGACCUAGUCUGCGGGAGAGAGCAGCCUUCCGUUCCACUAUAAUAUGAGUAACUUUACAAAAGAGAAAGAUAUCAAUGAGUUACAAAAAUAAGUCUCCCGCCUAAUUCUACCCAAAGCCCCAGCCUCUUCCCGUAACCAAGAGAGUCAAUCCUAAUAGUGUUUCCCAAGGUGAAUCAACCCUCAAAUCCUAGUGUUUGUUCCAAAGAGACAAACUCUAUACAAACCCAAGUUUUGUUGUUGUCUUUCGAUACCCUUGUUUCAGCCCCCUCUAUCUCAAGGUUUACUCUGAUACAAGAUCUAUAUUUAUAGUAAAAGUACCGCUUAAAAUUUGGAACAAAUCUGCACCCAAAAAUACGUUUCUGUUAUUCGCUGCCAGCGCACUAUCGUGCCACGUUGUGACCCCAUCGUGGCACGAAAUUUCCAGUGACUUGCCUCACGAAAUUCUUCAACCAUCGUGGCACGAUUUUUGCAGAUCCUGAUAUUAAGUUAACUCUCACAAUUCUCCACCUUGACUUCAAAUCAGUGAUGAUGCCAAUUUAACAUCAACCACCAUUGCUGCUCUUUCCCUUGCUUCCUACUACACCAAAUAGCUCCACAAGUUUACACUUUAACCCCUUCAGCCAUCGGAAUGUCUUCCGCCUUCUCGAAGGUCCUUGCAGUCCAACUACACUAGGAAUUUUAGGUAGUUACACAAGCAUUCACCAUAACAUCUUUAACACAGGACGUCUCCCGCUUCCUUGAAGAUUACCUUGCAUCCAAUCACCCUUGAGCAUUGGGAGGGAACCUUGAGCAGCCGUAUAAUGUUUAGGACGACGACAAGCAGCAUUAGGCUCCAUAACUACCAUUGUUCUCCCAUACGACUUUAGGUGUUGCCUACUGGCCUCAUAAACCAACACAAGUCUUUUUAUCUUGUUUUAUCCGCACUUGUCUGUUUUCUAGGAAACUUCCCAAAAGGUCACAUCCCAAAAUUGCUCAAAUUCAAGAACGCUUAACUAUAAAGUUCUUAUAGAAUUGACUACCCAAAAGAAGAUCAAUCAUGUUUAUAUACGUAGUACCAAACAAUUUUUAUGAGUCCUCCUUCAACCAUGCUGUCUCAUACUUGCACGACCUUAUAAUACGGGGUUGGCUUGAUUUUUGUACUCAAUGAUAUACUAUUCUACCUAACUCAAUGGUGUGCUUUGAUGCUAGUACUCAGCUGUCACACAUGUUAUAUAAUGUGAACUCAGAAAUUUUGUUAGUCAUAAUUUAAGAUUUGCUUUUUUUAAACUACAAAUUUGUUGUUAGAGGUUCUUUUGUUAAGGAUUAUAAAAAAAAAAAAUUAUUUGAUAUUCAAUAAUUUAAAAUAUUUUUUCUCUAAAAAAAGAGGAGAGUUGUUUUGUUUUCGUUUACCAUAAUGAAAAUAACUCUGUUUUUUUAAAAUUUUAAAAGUCGGUAACUAGAACCAUUCUUAGUCUAUUUUUCUUCAUAUUUCCAUUUUAUAAAAAAAUCUAUGACAAAUGGAUGAAAUUUUUAAAAGUUAUUUUUUUACAUAAAUAUUGUAACAAACGAGCUCUAAUAUAUAAUACUACAUCAGUGCUAUUUAACGCGAGAUCUUUUAUCCCGAAUGAUUCACGAAAUCUCCGUCAUCCAUGAUUGAUGGGUGUAAGUGGGGUCCAACCUUUCAACUAUGCAUGCAUAGCAAUCGCGAUCAUGUCGUGGUACAUUUGUUCGCUGUGUUAAGCAUUUCCGAUAAUACUAAUGACGGUUCAAAUUAAUCUACAACUUAUUUCUCAAACUAUUAUGCUUGAGGCCUAAACCACUUUAUUGCUCCUUGAAAGCAAUGAUGAAACUUACUUGGAAGCAAUUUUUUUUCACUAUAUCAACUACUAUAUAAGAGAGAAGAUGAACAGAGGGAAAAAUAAAGCAAGUUUAGAAGAAUUACAUUACAUGAUAAUAAUGAAUACAAACAAACCAAAUAAAACCCCAUUCUUAAUUGUUAACUUGGGGCUUAAAAUUGAGAUCAAUUAAAUUAGUAACCAAAAUUAGUGAUAGAAAAAAAAAUUCAUCGCUAAUUCAUUAGUCAUUAAAUUUAAGGACAGAAUCAGAUAGAUGAAUUUUUCACAUUUUUUCCAAUCAAAAUUUGUCACUAAUUUACUUGUUUUUUCUCAUGCAAAGAUUAAUGAAUACUUAAGGCAUAGUCCCUACUCGUGGAAAUGGUAUAAGGAUCACUUAUACCCCGCUACAUCAUGGAGCGACGGUGCAAAUUGUUGAAUCUAAAAGGUAAAAUUUAUCUUUAUAGAUCUAUAAGUUCUGAUGUUGAAAUCAAUAGCGGGUGGAUGGAAUCCUCAUCUGUAGGUAUGAUAUCACAUGAUGGAGCAAGUCUCGGGGUUUUGUUCAUAAACAACCUUACAAUAAGGUGGAUAAGGGUUAUAACAAGGUGGAUACGGUCGAUAUGGAGCAUAACAUUUAGGGCAUGUGCACCAUUGAGGACAUUGUUGGAUCGGUGGUGUAGGAGGCUUCUCAGGAGGUGUAGGAGGCUUCUUAGGAGGUGCAGGAAGUGUACAACCAUCACACUUCUUGUUGUCACAAUUGCAACAAUUAGCCUUACACUUACCAUCACACUUUGAAUCUUCACAUUUAAAGCAAAUUGUCACACAAUGUUUUCCAUCAC